Molecule: ribosomal RNA, 471 nt
Filed under: uncultured bacterium
Lineage: Bacteria
Description: bacterial SSU rRNA
Rfam family: Bacterial small subunit ribosomal RNA
Source: RNAcentral
GAUGAACGCUGGCGGCGUGCUUAACACAUGCAAGUCGAGCGGGCAAUUUAUCUAGCACUGAUUACUUCAAAUGGCUAUCGCCAGUGUAAUCAUGAAUUUCUACAUUUAAUAAAGAAAAAAGAAAUUCAUGUACGCAAAUAGUGAUAACACAUUUUAGUGGAGUGAUGAGUGCUGGAUAAAUUGCUAGCGGCGGACGGGUGCGUAACACGUGGGUAACCUGCCCCUAUCACUGGGAUAACACACUGAAAAGUGUGCUAAUACCAGAUAAUAUAAGCUUUUGGCAUCAUUAGCUUAUCAAAGAAUUUCGGAUAGGGAUGGGCCCGCGUCUGAUUAGCUAGUUGGUGAGGUAACGGCUCACCAAGGCAACGAUCAGUAGCCGACCUGAGAGGGUGAUCGGCCACACUGGAACUGAGACACGGUCCAGACUCCUACGGGAGGCAGCAGUGGGGAAUAUUGCACAAUGGGCGAAAG